Molecule: long non-coding RNA, 223 nt
Filed under: Prunus persica (peach)
Lineage: Eukaryota; Viridiplantae; Streptophyta; Magnoliopsida; Rosales; Rosaceae
Description: long non-coding RNA (PPER_LNC007321)
Source: RNAcentral
UUUUCACCUCUUGAUUUUGACAACAUGGAAACAACUAAUCGUUUUCCUCUAGUGAUCGGUCGAUGUCUUCUGAAGACUGGUCAUUUGGAAGCAGGUUCUCCGUGUUCGAAGAACGAAGGAGUAGCUACCGAUCGCUUUCCAUUGGCAACCAGUAGUUUUGAAGCAGAGUGACUCUUUUGGGAAAAAAUUGAGAAUUUAAGAAGUAGUGGAUUCUCGAUUCUCG